CUGAAUUCCGAAUCUGUCUUGAAUUCUAGGUGCUGUUGUGUAGUACUGAACAAAACAGCAACCUUGAAGCCUCUUUUGGUGACACGUUGUCUCUGUAACAGGAGCAAAGUUGAGGUGUUGGUUAUUUCCUAAUUACACCAAGCAAAUUGGGCAGAUUAUAAAUGAAAGCAAAUCUUUACAGUAAAGUCUAUUUUACUCAAGCCCUUUGCAGAGUAAGACUGCUCCCUCUAGUAAGCUCUGUGAGAAUUUCAGGACACCAGCUGAUUAGCUCAUGAAGAGUUUAUCUUUGUGUUACAAAAUAAAAUUCAGGGACUCUGGUGCUAUUUCUUGCUUUAUCCUCUUCUCUGACCCAAACUGCAGGAGAAAAUCUGCUUCCUCAGUAACAAUGCAAAAAUAAUUAUCAGGAACUACUUUGACAAGUCUGUUCCAACUUUCUCAUCUUCAGAUGGUCCUUUCUUCCUGCUGGACUGGAGGUGAACCGAGUACGUGCCUGCAAGGCUUUGGGACUGGCCUGCCUUAGCCCGAAUUUGUAUAAAGAGUUUCUUGGAAUCCAGCUACGGUUGAUGAAUCACAUCAUAUCAGCUUCUAUCAGCAAUUGCAACAUACUUCAGAGGAUAUUCCCCUUGGUCUUCAGAAAAAGGGCCAGUGCUGGGCUUGCCCAUCCACACCCGUGAAUCGCCAGCCUGCUCCAAAGAAGGCAAGAGAAACUGGGAAGCUCAGUGUAAUGUGGAGCAAUCUGGGAAAAAUGGAAACAGCUGAGAGAGGUACCAGGAAACCUGGAGGAGAGUGACAUCCAGUCCCAGCAAUGGCCAAGAAAAUGGUGCUCUCAGCUCAGACGACACAAAGCUCUUCAGCAGGCUGAAAGCAAUGUUCAAGCAACAUGAGCUACCUAGCCAGUGGUAAAAGAGCAUAAAGAGGAUAGGAAGGAUUGCAGAUCUUCUUUGCAUGCAAAAGCACGCUGAUAUUGAUCCUCUGGGAGUAUCUUAGCGCUGUAGAAAGCAAAGAUUUUGGCUGUUGUAGCUUCACUGAUGUUCUGCUGCAGGUAUGUUCAGUAGCAGAAGCUACUGUGUUAUUCAGAAACGUCAUGAUGACUUAUCUGAUUAGAGAACUUAAGGCAGUUUUAAGGUGGAUUGCUUGAAUUGGUUUUGGUGGUUGAUGAAAUGUAAGAUUUGCUCAAAUGAAAAUAUUAAGAGUGGCAAUGUGAAAAUAAAU
RNAcentral lists this long non-coding RNA (1212 nucleotides) under Cyanistes caeruleus (blue tit). Its description in RNAcentral is "lncRNA (ENSCCEG00000013883.1)". Lineage: Eukaryota; Metazoa; Chordata; Aves; Passeriformes; Paridae. The record is from RNAcentral.